GACGAACGCUGGCGGCGUGCUUAACACAUGCAAGUCGAACGGAAAGGCCCUGCUUUUGUGGGGUGCUCGAGUGGCGAACGGGUGAGUAACACGUGAGUAACGUGCCCUUGACUUUGGGAUAACUUCAGGAAACUGGGGCUAAUACCGGAUAGGAGCUCCUGCUGCAUGGUGGGGGUUGGAAAGUUUCGGCGGUUGGGGAUGGACUCGCGGCUUAUCAGCUUGUUGGUGGGGUAGUGGCUUACCAAGGCUUUGACGGGUAGCCGGCCUGAGAGGGUGACCGGCCACAUUGGGCCUGAGAUACGGCCCAGACUCCUACGGGAGGCAGCAGUGGGGAAUAUUGCACAAUGGGCGGAAGCCUGAUGCAGCAACGCCGCGUGCGGGAUGACGGCCUUCGGGUUGUAAACCGCUUUCGCCUGUGACGAAGCGUGAGUGACGGUAAUGGGUAAAGAAGCACCGGCUAACUACGUG
This 468-nucleotide ribosomal RNA is filed under the name uncultured bacterium. Its description in RNAcentral is "partial 16S ribosomal RNA". It matches the Rfam family "Bacterial small subunit ribosomal RNA", at positions 28 to 507 of the family's 1533-position model. The record is from RNAcentral.